GGAUGGUUGGCAGAGAGGUAAUGCAGCGGAUUGCUACUCCGUACAACCCUUAACGGGUUGCGUAGGUUCGAAUCCUACACCAUCCG
RNAcentral lists this transfer RNA (86 nucleotides) under Caudoviricetes sp. RNAcentral describes it as "tRNA-Ser". It matches the Rfam family "tRNA". Rfam says of the family: Transfer RNA (tRNA) molecules are approximately 80 nucleotides in length. The record is from RNAcentral. Lineage: Duplodnaviria; Heunggongvirae; Uroviricota; Caudoviricetes.